AAUUAUUAUCAUAUUAAUCAGCUCGAUUAUCAUCGCUAGCUCGACUACUGGUGGUAGGACGUAUUGUGCGUCCGCACGGGUCGGUACCACCACCCUGCCUAUUUCUGUCGUGAAUCAGUAAUGCGUUUCGGUUAGAAGAGUGGGUCAGCCGUUGUACUAUAAAAACUGAGACCUUAGAAGAACUCAUGUCUCAAGGUGGGUUGCAGCGUUUAGAUGUCUGUGGGUUCCGGUCAACACAUAAAAUCAAGUUUUUAAGUCCUGAACAUCUGAAAUAUCGUGUAAAGGAUCAGAAUGGUUAUUUAUUCUACUAGUUAUAUGGUAUGGGUAUUCUAUUUUGUAAACUAAAUAAUUGUACACCCUGUAACCCCGUUAAUUAUGUUUACGUAAUGACGUAGCACCGUGAGUUAAGCCAUUAAUAAACGUGAAGCCUUGUUUAAAACAUAUAAUCGUUCUUCUUAUGAACUACUUAACGUGUUUGUUUAAGUCUUAGAACAUUUAUAAACAUCUCGGAAAGAAAACACUACGUUUGUUUAAUUUGAAUGUUAUUUAAACUCUAUGGACCGCUCUAUCCACGUUUUUGUUAUCAUUUGUCGUAAUGCUUGGCUUCGGAAAUAUACGGAAUUGAAAUGAACAUAGGGGAGACCGGGGCAAGAUGAAGUUCGGGGCAGGACGGGAAAUAAGCUUUUGUCCAUGAAUGGUAAUCGUGUUCGGACCGGUAACGGCGCCAUUUGCACGAAAUUCAGACUGCGCAAGUGCGUCCGAGCAAAGCGAACGUAUUGGAUCUCGUUUUUGCGUUGUAUAGGAAAAAAACUGAUUUUGCAAGUGUUCUUAUCCGGUUUUUGGUUAACAAACUGAUGUGCAGACAUAUACAAUGGUUCGGAACUAUAAACGAAAAACAGAUCGUGGCAAAUGGGACCCUGAAGUUCUGGGUCUUAUGGGUUCUUAAUAACAGGAUGGGGCUUCCUCGAGCCUCUGCUACAUAUGAUGUUCCGCCGCCGUGUAAGAAAAUCUCGUGAUACUGUGGAUGACGACACUGAUUCCGGUAACUACUAAGUAUGCAGGAAGCACGGUUAACCGGAAAAUAACUUCGUGUAAUAGCUUAUCAGUUGGCUCAGCGAAAUCAUAUAGAUAGCCCACUUAAUGAAGAAACCGACAUGACAGGAGAAGAUUGGCGUAAAAAACGAAUACACAAAGUUGGAAAUAAGAAGAUAAAAAGAACUGAAAACAAGCACCAAGCUAAAAGACUCGCCAAAAAAAUCGAAUCGGAAUAUAGUUCAUCUUCAUUAGAGGACGGUGACUGGGCCUGCAUCUAUUGUGGUUACUUAUACUAAGAGUCAACCGGGAGUUGGGCUAUCUGCAGUAUUUGCCAUGGUUGGACACACGAUUCCUGUGCCGAAGUAGAUGAAGAAGACGACGAGGCACACAUUUGUGAACGCUGUCUACCCGAUUAAAAUACGUACUCCUUUUGCCCCAUAGCAUUUCCCAUCUUACCCCGUCCAUGGGGCAAGACGGGAAAUUCGCCACAUUAUCGUUAAUCAUUAUUUGUCAAAAAACUUCUGUGAUUUUGCUUGAUAAAAUUAUUAAUUUUAAGAAACAAAUGUAUAAGCGUUACUUAUUUUCUUAAAGAAUUUAAUUAAACAGUAUAAUUGUCUUUGUA
Long non-coding RNA from Bombyx mori (domestic silkworm), 1657 nucleotides. RefSeq lists it as uncharacterized. The transcript has 3 exons. NCBI's taxonomy places the organism in Eukaryota, Metazoa, Arthropoda, Insecta, Lepidoptera, Bombycidae. The record is from RefSeq and is a predicted model, not a curated record.